This is a long non-coding RNA of Papaver somniferum (opium poppy), 1385 nucleotides long. RefSeq lists it as uncharacterized. The transcript is spliced from 6 exons. Lineage: Eukaryota; Viridiplantae; Streptophyta; Magnoliopsida; Ranunculales; Papaveraceae. The record is from RefSeq and is a predicted model, not a curated record.
AUUUGAUUAGAAAUCCUGAGAGACAACAUUUCUUUUUAACAUUAACCAAGGUUGAGAAAGAAGAAGAAGGAGAGAUUUUGUAUAGGUAGAUCGAUCUUUUCACCACCACCACCACCUAUGACCAAUUUUAUCAUCUGUAGGACGAUUACAAGGUAGAUAUUACAAGGCCUUCCCUCAUCGGAAACAAGGAAGAAUACGGCAGCAACUGACGAAACAUCCGGUUAUUUAGCCAAUGCAAACAAACAUAUUAACCUGCGGGAAAAAACCCAGGUAGCACGGAGUCAGAUAGAGAUGGAGCCAUGAAAUAUGGCAACCUUGGGAACAUCUGCUUAUUUACGUGUUAUUAAGUGGUAUGAGGCUAGGAAUGAGUACAGAAGAAAAUUCUACGAAGUGCAACAACCUAAGAAACUAGAGGGGAAAUAGCACUCUGGAUGCUGAAGUGGAUGCGAAUGUAAGAGAUCAGCAUGAUGGGGGCAGAGUAGAUGACAGCAAACAAAAUAGUCUAAAUUUUGGCUUCUUCGCUGCUUUUGCUGAACUUUGGUGAGGGAUUGGUGAGCGAGGAAUCCUUUAAAGUUGAGCUUGGAGAGGUAGUUGCUGCAGGUGAUAUUCCCAAGGACUAUAUGCCACAUGCAUCUUGGUUUAUCCAGGCUCCGGAGACUACCUCGGUACCGUGUACACUACAUGGUAGUUUGGCAAAUCGAAGAAGACAUUCGGAAAGAGCUGCUUUUUGAUGCGAGAGUUAGUGGAACCCUUUUCAUAUAAAAAUCAUGGAAUUAGGUAUUCGGUUAUGAACUUCAGCAAUUAUUAACGGCGGCAAGAAACACUGAACGAACAAUCCUUACGAGCUUGACGGGUCAGCCAAAACUUCAUUAAAACCUUUAAAUUUUCUUUUCUACUGAAACCCUAACUUACAAACAGAAGAGUAAACUAGGCGGCCAGGAGGAUGGCAUCAUGGAGUUAAAGACUAUCAGGCAUCUUUUUGUAUUCGCUUCUAGAUGGGUUUCAAAGAUUGCAAGAGCUUGCUUUGAGAGAGAUUCUCUAUUUUUGAAACAGAUUUAGAAGCGAAUACAAGAAAGAAGAGCCUUUAUCAAAAGGCACUUGGAAGAUUUUGUAUGCUGAAACCUGGUGGCGGGUUGGGCUACGAGGAAGAUAAAAACCAACCAAGAGGUAAGAUAGCCAACCUAAUGUAUUUUAGCCCCUCAAUUUGUUAUCCGCUGUUUGGUUCGGAGUUGAAAUCAUAGCUUUUAGUUAAAUAGUACAUGGGUGUUACACAUUUUCAUUUGUUCACAGUCUAUUCAAAAUCUCUUGAGCAGGACCAUCUCAUGAAAAUGUUGAAUAAGCAUGCUAAAUUUCUUAUAUUAUGAACUACCUAGAGUUGGUAGCAA